UUUCAGCGGCUCCAUGACCUCUAUUUUCAUUUCUCACAUACUUUUCUUUUGAUCCCUCGAUAAAAAUAUCAAAGAAUUUCAAUAGGUUCAUUUAUAAUUAUAAUCUCAUCUGGGAUCAUCACCUGUUCCCAUUUAUCAGCAUUGGCAAGGAAAAGUGGUACAUUUUUAUUUUUAUUUAAUGAAGAACCAGCUGCUUUAACAGAUGUUUCAUAAAUUUAGAAGAUGCCUUGCACUUCUUCAUCAGGGAAAGAACACCUAAAUGCUCUCUACUUAUACAACAACGAACAACUCUUGCUCUGUUCCUACACUGUACUUUAAGGAAGCUAAAGUGGAGAGAGAUUGAGUAAUGACCAACAUCACCUGGAUCUUAAGUGGUGGAGCUAGUACUGACCAGGUUAAGACCACUGGUCCGAAGCCAGCUGAACACUGGUUACUGGGAUGGAUACUUGCCUACUUGGAAUCUGGUUAUUGACCUGCAGAGGUCAGACCUACUGUGAAAUCCCUGCCAAUUCUGAAACUCCCUGAUAGUGUAUGAUGAACUUUUCCUUCAUCUGGGUUCCUGAGAGAUAAUUAACAGAGUAGAGCUCUCCAGCAACCCCCUAAUGGAAACACAGCCUAAGCAAGCACCCAGGGGCAAUCACAAGCCGGCGUGAAUCAUGGAGCACAACUGCGUGUCCCUCAUUUGUUGUAGGGCUCUGCGCAAGGAGAGGAGGACAAGCAAGCAGGAACAAAGAGGGCGGCUCUCAUGUCCUUGAGCCACUAUCAACAAAUUGGAGAUAAUUACAGUCAGGACACUUGAGAAAUUGAACCAAAAAGUUCAUCCUCUGAUAUUGAAUUUUAAGGUGAUUUUUAGUCAUGUAACAGGGUAAAAGGAGGUCAGUUUGAAAACAUGGCAA
This is a long non-coding RNA of Mustela erminea (ermine), 896 nucleotides long. RefSeq lists it as uncharacterized. The record is from RefSeq and is a predicted model, not a curated record. Lineage: Eukaryota; Metazoa; Chordata; Mammalia; Carnivora; Mustelidae. The transcript has 5 exons.